This 69-nucleotide transfer RNA is filed under the name Trachypithecus phayrei phayrei. Its description in RNAcentral is "tRNA-Cys". The record is from RNAcentral. Lineage: Eukaryota; Metazoa; Chordata; Mammalia; Primates; Cercopithecidae.
AGCCCCGAGGUGAUUUUCAUGUUGAAUUGCAAAUUCAAAGGAGCAGUUNNNAGAUUUCUGCCGGGGCUU